CCAUGGCUGGAGUUCCCAGGGGGUGCAUACACUCAUCGCCCCUCUCCACUGCUCUUCACAUCACAUCUGUCUCAGGCUCUAAUGCUUCCAGGACUGAUGGACAAGAAGGCAAAGGUCAGAGCUGUAUAGACGCUCAAGCCAGCCUGAAGAAAGAGCAGGUUUUGAGAUAGUAUGACAAAGUUCUUUAAGUGGUUAAAAAAUAAUUCGCUCAUAAUUUUUGUGUUUAAUUGUAUGAAAUAAAAGAUAAAUUUGUUGACGAAAAGCAGAGUUCUAUUGAAGUUUUAUUGUUAAGGAAAGACAUUCAAGGAUUAGAGGCUUUGUAUUUGUAACAAGUUCAUAUGAAAAUUCAGAUUUUUUCUUAGUCAGUUACAUAGCACUAAUCAUCAAGUUGCUGAUAACUUAGCACACAGCUUUUUGAAACAUAGACACUCCUGAAUGGAAACAACAAACAUAUUGGCAGCUUAAAACUUCAAAUGCGUCACCUUAUGGUGACAACAUCUAGCUUUUAUAUACAGCCAAUGAAAACAAAUUGCUUAUACAUUUGUAUAAAACAACUCUUAAAGCUAUCACUUCAGCAAAGCCCUUGGAGACCUUGAGACUCCCGAGAGCUUCGAUCAGUUUUUCAAGUGGUACCUGACGGGAAAUGAUAUGUGUCCUCAUCUCCACUAUCUGCCUAAUGAUGAUGACCAAGAAGAGUCCAGGUCUGAUAAAUGAUAACAGAUAUCAAUGUGAUCAGGAAGAACUGAAAUUGAUUAUUUCAAACUGAACUGUGUUUGACAAACUUACUCAGUUAUUAUCCAGUGGAUAAUAGCACAUCCAUAUAAAAGAAUUCAAGUUGCUUUAUACUUUUCCCACAUUCUGUUUCAGUAAAAUACUUUUGGUAUCUCACAUACUGCAUAUUUGUUUGCUACUUUAUAAAUUAAAACAGUGGUACCUCAGUUAUUUGACUCUUUACGUUAUAAAACCUUUGCUCCAGAUUGAGCUAUUAGAAAAUAAGAUAAGUCUGAGGGCUGAAGAGAUAGUAAUUAUUGACAGGUUAUUAUGACAAUGGGCCCCGGCCAUAAAAAUGUCAAAGGACGUUCUACCCACUUGCGCAAAGGGUAUGCAGUGUACGUGCUUUUCCUAAGCAAACAAAGAUUGGUUACACAAUAAACAAAGCCAACUCUCAAAAACGGCUUGUAAUCUUUUGAAAUCAUUCUCCUUUUCAACCUUUAAAUCACUGCUAUUCUUUUACAAUCUGAGGUUUAAAAACAUCUUAAUUUUAAAAACUCAAACACAAUUUAAUCAAAAGUGAAAGAUUUCCUGAAGAACUGAUUUUGUUCUGUUUUUUUCCCCUUUUUUUCUUUCUUUGCUUUUGAUAAAAUUUAACUGACUUGCUUCAAAUUAGCUUCUAACAUCCGAAGUGGACCACUUGCAAAGAGGACAGUGUAAUUCCACAUCUAUUGCUAUAAUAAAUACUGCAAAAAGUUAUUUGUUUGUCUAGCAUAAACUUUUUUCUUCCUCCACCUGUUAUCAUGCUGUUUGUACUUGAGUGAUAGUGGGGUAAAUAUAAUCAACAGACACUUGAUUUUAAUUGAAAAUGCCAAAUGAGAUUUUAGCUCAUGGAGGAACUAUAAGAUCGAUGGCUCAGUGAAAAAGAAUCACGACUCGCCAUAAUUUCUGUUGUGAGCUCUGGUAGAUUUUCUUUGUGUCAGGUUGUGAUCAGCUGACCUGUGCUGCUGCUGCUUUGAUCUUUGCUGUUUUUUGUGGAUUUGCACAAGUUUAUUUGUUGAGAACCCGAUGUUCCCACCUCUGUAAAGAAUGGGAAGGACGGAAUAGCAGACCUGCACAAGUCUGGAAUGGUCUAUAAGACCGUUCAGCAAGAACGUGAGUGGUGAGAAGGUGAAAACUAAGCUAUUAUUUGGAGAUGGAUUAAAGCAUCUUUGAUUCUUCUAGAACUCAUGUUCAUGUAUGACUUACAAAAUUGGAUCUGUUAUUGAUCACACACUAGCUAAUUUGAAGUGUGAAUCUAAGUGUGAGGUCGCUAUGGUCUGCCCUCAGAUCCACUAGCCACUGAGCAUUGCCGUUAUGGGUUGCGUCCUUCUCCCAUAUGCUCUUCCAGUAUUGCUCCGUCUCCAGCCUUGGUGGUGCUGUUCUGUUAUUGUUCCCUUGCCACUGAGAGUACACCUUUGCUGGUUCUGUGGAGAACAGCUGGUUUAUUCUCCUGCCUUCUCUCUCUCUGGUGUACCUCCUCAAGCGGGUGGCCAAGGGUGUGAGUCUUUGCUUGGCAGUUUCCAAGGCCUCAGCCUCCUUCUCCAUGGAGGGUACUGCCCCUUGUGGCUGUUCAACUUGUAGCCAAGCAUCUCACUGAUCACUGCUGCCGUAGUGUUAGUGUCGGUAAUCGUGGUUGUAGGUAUCGUCCGUAGUGCUGCAUUAACAUCAUCUAGCAGACCUUCUGAGGGUACUUCACGUAAUCUUGGUAACGGGCUACGGGGGAUCCAGGUUUCAAGCUUGGCCAUGAUCCU
Oreochromis aureus is the source of this 2504-nucleotide long non-coding RNA. The record is from Ensembl. NCBI's taxonomy places the organism in Eukaryota, Metazoa, Chordata, Actinopteri, Cichliformes, Cichlidae.